Molecule: transfer RNA, 72 nt
Filed under: Camelus bactrianus (Bactrian camel)
Lineage: Eukaryota; Metazoa; Chordata; Mammalia; Artiodactyla; Camelidae
Also listed under: 1 other name
Rfam family: tRNA
About the family: Transfer RNA (tRNA) molecules are approximately 80 nucleotides in length. Their secondary structure includes four short double-helical elements and three loops (D, anti-codon, and T loops).
Source: Rfam by way of RNAcentral
GAGGGUAUAGCUCAGUGGUAAAGCACAUGCUUAGCGUGCAUGAGGUCCUGGGUUCAAUUGCCAGUACCUCUG